This 327-nucleotide ribosomal RNA is filed under the name uncultured eukaryote. RNAcentral's name for it is "partial 18S ribosomal RNA". It matches the Rfam family "Eukaryotic small subunit ribosomal RNA", at positions 1470 to 1796 of the family's 1831-position model. The record is from RNAcentral.
CCCUUAGAUGUUCUGGGCCGCACGCGCGCUACACUGACGAAUGCAACGAGCUUAUAACCUUGGCCGAAAGGUCUGGGUAAUCUCCAAAUUUCGUCGUGAUGGGGAUGGAUUAUUGCAAUUAUUAAUCUUCAACGAGGAAUGCCUAGUAAGCGCAAGUCAUCAGCUUGCGUUGAUUACGUCCCUGCCCUUUGUACACACCGCCCGUCGCUCCUACCGAUUGAAUGGUCCGGUGAAGCGCUCGGACCGCGGCCUCUUGACGGUUCGCUGUCGAUUGGCUGUGGGAAGUUCGUUAAACCUUAUCAUUUAGAGGAAGGAGAAGUCGUAACA